Molecule: long non-coding RNA, 5925 nt
Filed under: Citrus x clementina
Lineage: Eukaryota; Viridiplantae; Streptophyta; Magnoliopsida; Sapindales; Rutaceae
Description: Citrus clementina (C. clementina) long non-coding RNA (CCLE_LNC006633)
Source: RNAcentral
UUGGCUCUGAUACCAAGUAGAAAUUCAAUAAUGUUUGGAAAACAGAGAAAACUUCCUUUGAUUUAUUAUCACUAAAUCAUCAUUACAAUGAAUCUGUACAUUAUUCCUUUUAUAUACAUGAGUAGCUGAUUUAACUAACUUUACAACUAAUUACAAUUGCUAAUGAGCUAAUUAAAACUAUCUAACAAACUAACGAGCACAAGGAAGGCUGUAACAGAUUUUCCUAAUCUUCACGUGUGCAAGAGAUUACAAAACCACCAGGCUCCAGCUAGCAAGCCAUGUCAUCAACUUGUAUCUGUAAGCUGCAGGUGUUACAAUCCUCUGCUUCACUGGCCACUCUACACAUAUGAGCUUCCUUUACAGUGAUCAAUUGGAAAGAAAUACAACCCUAGCAAAAAGUUUUUUUUUUCAUAGUUCAGUGUAAGCUUUUUUUAUUAGUGUUUAUUGUUGUCAUAUAUAUCUUUUCUACGUAUUGCUUUUGCUUUGUUUCUCUUUUAUAUUUUUUUUCAAGUAAACAUGCCCAUUAACCAAUUCAAUGUAGGACAGCAUCAAAUUGUUUACAAAAUGCUAAAAACAAUUAGAGAAGUAAGUUCUUAUUUAAAUAUCAGCAGUUAUUAAAAAUGUUUUGUUGAUUUAUUCUAAUUUGAAUAACAUACAUGCAGUCUUCUAAACAAGCUGAAAAAAAACAUAAGAAAGAACUUGCAGCUAUAGUCACAACUCUUAGAGAUAAUAAUGAAGAUAUAGAAAGAUUGCAGAUUUUGAUUCAGAUAAUUCAACUUAUCCCCCCUUAUGUACGAAAAAGAUGAAAAAGAAAAGAAAAGGUCUUACAAAGAUUCAUUUGGCUGCACCUUUUAAUGUAAGUCAUGAUUCAGUAUUAUCGGCUUAGAAUUUGUUAUUUUGAUUAUUUUAAUUUUGAUUAUGUUUAUAUUGUGCUCUAUACAAGCAAAAAAAAAAAAAAAAGCAAAGAGAAAACGUGUAGUUAUCUUAGAUGAGCUUAAAGAGAUUUGAGUUUAGUGAAUUUGAUUCUGAUUGUCCAAAAAAAGAAAAAGAAGAGGGGACUUAUAGAUGUAAGUUAUAAUUCAAUAUUGUCAACUUAGAUUUGUCUAUUUUCAUUAUUUACUCUAAUUUUAAUCAUGAUUAUAUAUAGUCCUUUAAACAGGCAGCAAAAAGAGCAAAGGGAAAACAUAUAAUUGCUAGAGAUGAACCUGAAGACAGUGAGUUUAGUGACUCUGAUUCUCAUAAUUCAAUAUUUCUUCCAAAAGUGAACAAAAGGAAAAGGGGUCUUGCAAAGAUUGACGUUGUUGCAUCCAUUGAUGGCAAACGUAUGGAUGUUUCAUUUAAUGAGAUUGGGUAGGUUGUUGGUGAUAAUUCCAUUAAAUUGUCUUCUUAUAUUGGUAGCUUGGUAAAACAAAUGAUGCCAAUAACAUUGAAUAGUUGGCAUAAAGUUGAUGAAGAUUUAAGAAAAAUACUUUGGAUUUGUGCCCAGGUAGUGUUUGAUAUGUGUUGAUUUAUGAUAAAAUGUAUAUCUUCUAGUAUUUCCUUAACUAAUAAACAUUUUUUACUAUUGCAGCAACAAUUCAUCAUUGAUUAUUGUCACAGAGACUAUAUUCUUAUGAUGAUGGGAAAAAUUUGGAGAACGUACAAGUCAGAGUUGUCAAGAAAAAUAAGAUGUGAUCAAUCACCUUGCUGCAUUGAGAGAGAUGAAACCUCAAAACAUCAAAUCUGAGCAAAAGUGGAAUAAAUUCAUUAGAGAUAGAAGUUCUAUAGAGUUUCAGGUCAGUAUGAUUCUUCUAAAUUGUGUAAGGAAAUUUUUAUGUAAUAAUUCACUCACUUUUCCAGUUCAUCUAGUUGAAAAGCAAAUAUUUACAAGCUUUGAGGGCAAAGCAAAAAAGAGUUCAUCGUACAGGCCGUAAAAGACUUCCUCGUUUGAGACAUGAAAUAGUAAUUUUUCUUGUUAAGUUUUUAUUCUUAUGCAUUACCAGUAGUUCGGUAAUCAAAUAAUGAUCUAUAUAUUUUGUAGAUAAAACAAAAUCCAAAUUCAUCAAUAACUCAAGUUGACAUUUGGUCUCAUGCCUAUUCAAAGAAAGAUGGAAUUCCAAUUGAUAAAGAAAUUACUGAUAACUUGGUGAUUAAUACUUUUUCUUUUAUAACAAUUUUAUUUACCAGUUAAUUAGUUUGCUAAUAAGAAUUUAAAACACAUGCUUACAAGAAAAUAUUAAAUAAUAUAUGAGGACACAUCCUGACUUAGGUAAAUGUACUGUCAAAAGUGAUGCUUUAACUCGUGUAUUGGGAAAAGAACGUCUUGGACGAGUGCGAGGAUUUGGAUUCGCAGCCACACCUUCUAAAUUGGCUUUACAAGCAAUUACCCACUCAAAUGUUUCUCAGCCUGAGAGCAGACUAAAUGAUCUUCAUGCCAAAUAUAAUGAACUUCAAGCAUCAUUCAUCAAUUACAUGAGGACACAUGAGGUAAUGAAUGUAUAUGUCUUUUUAUAUAUGUUACAUUUGCUUAGUUGUAUAUUGAACUUCAAGUCUCAUUUGUUAAUUACUGAAAGUUGGUAUUAAUGAAUUUAAUUUGAAUAUAUGAGUUAUGACACUUUCUGAAAGUUGGAAGCCAUAUUGUUGGUUAGUAUUGCUCUGUUUUUUUUUAAAAGUAUUUAUUUGCUUUUAAUGCAAGUUUUUAACUUUGGUUAUAGCUAGAAGUAAUCUUCAGACAUUUUAUGUACUUGUAGGUUCAAAAUUGUAGAAAUGAAAAAAUGCAAGAUUUUGAAGAUAAUUCACAAGUUUUAGAUAGUUUUAAGAAAAUAAUUAUAUUCUAAGACUAACACCUUUAUGGAUCAUUUUAAGAAGUCAAUAAUUAUGUUCUAAGACUAAUACCUUUGUUUCAUUGUUCUUGUUUGUGAUAGAUACAAAGCACCAACAGACAUGGAUUUAAUGAAUCUAACGUGGAGAAUACACAAUGCAAAUUGUUGGAUUGGAAGGGCAUAAGAAAAGAUUUCGGAGAAGGAACAGUUGCAUCAACAAAUCCACUUUCAAAGGCACAUCACAUGGAUCUUGGACCAAAUUAUUGGAAAGUUUAGGUUACAAUAACAAUAAUAGGAAAAACUCCUUUAUAUCGUAUGACAUCUGAUUUUUAUGUUCUUGAUGAUGAAAUUGGAAGCACAAUUGCUUGGCCGAAGAACUAUGUAGCCUUAAACUAAAUUGUUUGUUGAUGUAUUGAAUAUUAUUGACCUGAUGUGUACAAUCUAUAUUUGGAUAUUCAAUUUUGAUGUUUGUAUGGACAUAUGCAGUAACUUUUUAAAUCUCUAUAUUUGUAUGGACAUUUAAUUUUGAAAUUUGGAUAUUCUCUUUUGAAAAAUUGUAUGAAUAUUUAAUUUUGAUAUUUAAAGGAACAAGUGAAUGUUGGUUUUUGGCAGUACAGUUUUUGCGGCGUUUACCCAAUGUUAUUUUGUCUUUCCAACAUUUUUAUUAUACUCUUUUUACAACAUUUGUUGACCGCUACAUUAGACAUUCUACCUUUUACAGCAUCGUCCAAAAUAGCGUUGGACAAAAUGCUACAUAAGACUUAAUGAAGCGUUCAUCAAAUGCUGCAAAAAGUAAGCUUUCUUAUAGUAUGUCAAUUUUUUUAACUCAUUUUUUUUUUUUGGGGCACAACAAAAAAUGGGUUUUUCAUUUUAAUUCUCACUUCCACAAGUUGCAAAUUGUUUAAGUGAAUUCCAUCCAAAGCAAAGCUUGAAAAAUCUCUAUUUCUCUCUAAUAACAAAAGCCCAAUUUGCCUAAACCAUUUUCUCUCUUAAAAAAUAUAUAUGUUUUUAGAGUGACAGUUAAUAAAUUCAAAUUGCAGAUUGUUUAAGAGAAUUCCAUCCAAAGCAAAGCUUGAAAAAUCUCUAUUUCUCUCUAAUAACAAAAGCCCAAUUUGCCUAAAUCAUUUUCUCCCUUCAAAAAAAAUUAUUUUUGGAGUGACAGGCAAUAAAUUCAAAUUGUGCAUCAUCAACAAAAUGGCAUUUGUAGUGAAAUCAUUAUCAUGAACAAUAUCAUUUUUAUAUGCUAUUAAAAACAAUUAAUCAAAUCAAUCAAAUAAUUACUCAAAAAUUUACUUAAAUAAAAAAAAUACCAGCUGUGACAAAGCGGAGAGAGCAGCAGCAGCACGGCGGAGACGGGGCAGCAGCGUCUACGGCGGAGACGGGGCAGCAGCGUCUACGGCGGAGACGGGGCAGCGACAGUGGCUGAGAUGAAGUAACGACAGCAGCAGAGACGAAGUACAGCAGCUGGCACACCAAGAGAGAGUAUAUCAGGAGAAAUAAGAAGAGCGAAUGAUGUUGGAUGAAGAUAAGAGGAGAGAGAAAGUACAGAUUUGUUGUGACUGGAUCGAGAAAGGUGAGGGGGAAGAGAGAGCGUUGAUGAAGAGAUAAGGAUGCGGAGGUAGUCACGAGGUUGGUUUUAUUUUUUAAUUCAUUUUUAGGUUUAGUUUUGUAAUAUUUGGAGAAUGUUUUUAACAUGUUUUCAGUUUACUAGUUAUAAUAAUGAAUCUGAAUUUUUUGUUUUGUAAUCUUCUUUUUGAAUAUAAUCCACUGAACAUGUAUUAUAUAUGUAUUAUGAAAACAAAAAUAAAAAUAAUGCUUGGAAAAUGAUACCGAACAUGCCCUAAGUUCUUUUGAUUAACUUUAAACUUUAUGAAAAUUCUAAAAAUUUACUUCAAUAUUUGAUGAAAUGUAUGUAUUUUUAAAUGGAUUUAAGUCUAUAAAAAAUUUAAAAAUUAGUUGAAUAUUUGUUGAAAUGAUCAAGGUGUUGUCGAAUGACUUUAAACUUAAAAUUAAUUUAAAAAUUUACUUCAAUAUUUGAUUAAUGAAAGUAUUAUCAAAUUAUUUUUUCUCCAAUUUUUAUUUUUUGGGGUCUAUCAUCAUGUGAGCUUAUUGAGGACGUCAAGUAAUUAAAAUUUAAUUUAAUGCAAAUAUGAAAUAUAAAAGAGUAUAUUCCUCAAUAUUAUAUGACUUAUGUCAUUAAACAAAAGCUUUCUUUUUUACUCUAUUUAUAUUGCCUCUAUGUUUACAUAUUGUCAAAUAAUUACUCACUCAAACAUAGGGAUGGCAAAAAUCCCAACGGGGACGGGUACUCUCGGGAAUUUUCUCCAUUUAGGGAGGGUACGAGGAUAAUUUUAUACCCAAUUUUUUUUUGGGGAGGGUGUUGAGUGUUAGAAAAUGCAUAUUUAUAAAGGAGAAAACCGUCAUUUUACAUUUUAAGUCUUACUAACAACCCUUACUUUUAUAUAUUUAACCUUCUUGUGAUUUAAUUACAUGUGUUUUAUUUUAAUUAAGUAUUUUAUGUAUUUUAGGGGCAUUAUAGUCAUUUCACAAUAAAGGAGAGAUCAGACAGCAAAACGGACAUCACUUUUGAACUCAGGACGGUCGAAAACCUUAGGAGGAGCAUAAAAGGAAAAAUGGCACUAUUCACAUGUACGGUACUAUUCACGUGUACGGUACUGUAUACGUUACUGUUCACGACACUGUUCACAUAGACGGAUGAUGACGUGGCAUUGACCGAUGAUGUGGCAUUGACUGAUGAGGUGUCACGAUCCUGUUGGACUAAAAUUCUUAUGUACUGUUGAUGGUGACGUGGCAGCAUAUCAGUGGACGAAAAAUCUCGCGUACGGUGCAUGCAUCACAUAGGAUUAUUUUCAACCAAACCGCGUUACUGUUCAUCCGGGUCAAACCGUGUUACUGUUCAUCCGCGUGGUCAAACCGUGGACUGUUGACUGAUGACGUGGCGCAAUCCUGAGCGUCCAAACUGUUUUUAAUCCGAUGGCCAUGAUUUACUCCAUGUAUCUAUAAAAAGGGGGCCUCCCCCCCCUAAUUUGAUAUCUCUGAAUCCAUUUUUGGGAUCCAUUUUCUGUAAUUCCCUCUCCAUCUUGUAUUUUCUUCGUAUUUUAAU